UUAACCGAAUAGGGGAGCCGGAGGGAAACCGAGUCUUAACCGGGCGUUAAGUUGCAGGGUAUAGACCCGAAACCCGGUGAUCUAGCCAUGGGCAGGUUGAAGGUUGGGUAACACUAACUGGAGGACCGAACCGACUAAUGUUGAAAAAUUAGCGGAUGACCUGUGGCUGGGGGUGAAAGGCCAAUCAAACCGGGAGAUAGCUGGUUCUCCCCGAAAGCUAUUUAGGUAGCGCCUCGUGAACUCAUCUCCGGGGGUAGAGCA
RNAcentral lists this ribosomal RNA (261 nucleotides) under Salmonella enterica subsp. enterica serovar Kentucky. Its description in RNAcentral is "partial 23S ribosomal RNA". It matches the Rfam family "Bacterial large subunit ribosomal RNA", at positions 646 to 909 of the family's 2925-position model. Lineage: Bacteria; Pseudomonadati; Pseudomonadota; Gammaproteobacteria; Enterobacterales; Enterobacteriaceae. The record is from RNAcentral.